This 497-nucleotide ribosomal RNA is filed under the name uncultured bacterium. RNAcentral describes it as "partial 16S ribosomal RNA". It matches the Rfam family "Bacterial small subunit ribosomal RNA", at positions 28 to 507 of the family's 1533-position model. The record is from RNAcentral.
GAUGAACGCUGGCGGCGUGCCUAAUACAUGCCAGUCGAGCGAACAGACGAGGAGCUUGCUCCUCUGACGUUAGCGGCGGACGGGUGAGUAACACGUGGAUAACCUACCUAUAAGACUGGGAUAACUUCGGGAAACCGGAGCUAAUACCGGAUAAUAUAUUGAACCGCAUGGUUCAAUAGUGGAAGACGGUUUUGCUGUCACUUAUAGAUGGAUCCGCGCCGCAUUAGCUAGUUGGUAAGGUAACGGCUUACCAAGGCGACGAUGCGUAGCCGACCUGAGAGGGUGAUCGGCCACACUGGAACUGAGACACGGUCCAGACUCCUACGGGAGGCAGCAGUAGGGAAUCUUCCGCAAUGGGCGAAAGCCUGACGGAGCAACGCCGCGUGAGUGAUGAAGGUCUUCGGAUCGUAAAACUCUGUUAUUAGGGAAGAACAAAUGUGUAAGUAACUAUGCACGUCUUGACGGUACCUAAUCAGAAAGCCACGGCUAACUACGUG